RNAcentral lists this ribosomal RNA (253 nucleotides) under uncultured bacterium. RNAcentral describes it as "partial 16S ribosomal RNA". It matches the Rfam family "Bacterial small subunit ribosomal RNA", at positions 524 to 776 of the family's 1533-position model. The record is from RNAcentral.
UACGUAGGGGGCUAGCGUUGUCCGGAAUCAUUGGGCGUAAAGCGCGUGUAGGCGGUCCGGUAAGUCCGCUGUGAAAGUCGGGGGCUCAACCCUCGGAUGCCGGUGGAUACUGUCGGGCUUGAGUACGGAAGAGGCGAGUGGAAUUCCUGGUGUAGCGGUGAAAUGCGCAGAUAUCAGGAAGAACACCUAUGGCGAAGGCAGCUCUCUGGGACGGUACUGACGCUGAGACGCGAAAGCUAGGGGAGCAAACAGG